GAUGAACGCUGCCGGCGUGCUUAACACAUGCAAGUCGAACGAUGAGGCCCAGCUUGCUGGGCGGAUUAGUGGCGAACGGGUGAGUAACACGUGAGUAACCUGCCCCCGACUCUGGGAUAAGCCCGGGAAACUGGGUCUAAUACCGGAUAUUCACUUCCUUCCGCAUGGAGGGUGGUGGAAAGGUCUUUUCCGGUCGGGGAUGGACUCGCGGCCUAUCAGCUUGUUGGUGGGGUAGUGGCCCACCAAGGCGACGACGGGUAGCCGGCCUGAGAGGGUGACCGGCCACACUGGGACUGAGACACGGCCCAGACUCCUACGGGAGGCAGCAGUGGGGAAUAUUGCACAAUGGGCGCAAGCCUGAUGCAGCGACGCCGCGUGAGGGAUGACGGCCUUCGGGUUGUAAACCUCUUUCAGUAGGGAAGAAGCGAAAGUGACGGUACCUGCAGAAGAAGCGCCGGCUAACUACGUGCCAGCAGCCGCGGUAAUACGUAGGGCGCAAGCGUUAUCCGGAAUUAUUGGGCGUAAAGAGCUCGUAGGCGGUUUGUCGCGUCUGCCGUGAAAGUCCGGGGCUCAACCCCGGAUCUGCGGUGGGUACGGGCAGACUUGAGUGCAGUAGGGGAGAUUGGAAUUCCUGGUGUAGCGGUGAAAUGCGCAGAUAUCAGGAGGAACACCGAUGGCGAAGGCAGGUCUCUGGGCUGUAACUGACGCUGAGGAGCGAAAGCAUGGGGAGCGAACAGGAUUAGAUACCCUGGUAGUCCAUGCCGUAAACGUUGGGCACUAGGUGUGGGGGACAUUCCACGUUUUCCGCGCCGUAGCUAACGCAUUAAGUGCCCCGCCUGGGGAGUACGGCCGCAAGGCUAAA
RNAcentral lists this ribosomal RNA (862 nucleotides) under uncultured bacterium. RNAcentral's name for it is "bacterial SSU rRNA". It matches the Rfam family "Bacterial small subunit ribosomal RNA", at positions 28 to 898 of the family's 1533-position model. The record is from RNAcentral.